RNAcentral lists this ribosomal RNA (253 nucleotides) under uncultured bacterium. RNAcentral's name for it is "partial 16S ribosomal RNA". It matches the Rfam family "Bacterial small subunit ribosomal RNA", at positions 524 to 776 of the family's 1533-position model. The record is from RNAcentral.
UACGUAGGGCGCAAGCGUUGUCCGGAAUUAUUGGGCGUAAAGAGCUCGUAGGCGGUUUGUCGCGUCUGCUGUGAAAUCCCGAGGCUCAACCUCGGGCUUGCAGUGGGUACGGGCAGACUAGAGUGCGGUAGGGGAGACUGGAAUUCCUGGUGUAGCGGUGGAAUGCGCAGAUAUCAGGAGGAACACCGAUGGCGAAGGCAGCUCACUGGGACGGUACUGACGCUAAGGCGCGAAAGCGUGGGGAGCGAACAGG